CCUACGGGGUGCAGCAGUCGAGAAUCAUUCACAAUGGGGGAAACCCUGAUGGUGCGACGCCGCGUGGGGGAAUGAAGGUCUUCGGAUUGUAAACCCCUGUCAUGUGGGAGCAAAUUAAAAAGAUAGUACCACAAGAGGAAGAGACGGCUAACUCUGUGCCAGCAGCCGCUGUAAUACAGAGGUCUCAAGCGUUGUUCGGAAUCACUGGGCGUAAAGCGUGCGUAGGCUGUUUCGUAAGUCGUGUGUGAAAGGCGCGGGCUCAACCCGCGGACGGCACAUGAUACUGCGAGACUAGAGUAAUGGAGGGGGAACCGGAAUUCUCGGUGUAGCAGUGAAAUGCGUAGAUAUCGAGAGGAACACUCGUGGCGAAGGCGGGUUCCUGGACAUUAACUGACGCUGAGGCACGAAGGCCAGGGGAGCGAAAGAGAUUAGAUACCCCUGUAGUC
This 446-nucleotide ribosomal RNA is filed under the name uncultured bacterium. RNAcentral's name for it is "partial 16S ribosomal RNA". It matches the Rfam family "Bacterial small subunit ribosomal RNA", at positions 338 to 795 of the family's 1533-position model. The record is from RNAcentral.